UGCAGUCGAACGGCAGCACGGACUUCGGUCUGGUGGCGAGUGGCCCUUUGAAGAGUAUAUAUCGGAACGUGCCCAGUCGUGGCUGAAACGUAGUGAAAAUUACGCUAAUACCGCAUACGAUCUAUGGAUGAAAGCGGGGGAUCGCAAGACCUCGCGCGAUUGGAGCGGCCGAUAUCAGAUUAGGUAGUUGGUGAGGUAAAGGCUCACCAAGCCAACGAUCUGUAGCUGGUCUGAGAGGACGACCAGCCACACUGGGACUGAGACACGGCCCAGACUCCUACGGGAGGCAGCAGUGGGGAAUAUUGGACAAUGGGGGAAACCCUGAUCCAGCGACGCCGCGUGUGUGAAGAAGGCCUGCGGGUUGUAAAGCACUUUUAGUGGGGAGGAAAACCCCUGACCUAACACGUCAGGAAUUGACUUAACCCAAAGAAAAAGCACCGGCUAACUCUGUGCCAGCAGCCGCGGUAAUACAGAGGGUGGCAGCGUUAAUCGGAAUUACUGGGCGUAAAGC
RNAcentral lists this ribosomal RNA (511 nucleotides) under uncultured beta proteobacterium. RNAcentral describes it as "bacterial SSU rRNA". It matches the Rfam family "Bacterial small subunit ribosomal RNA", at positions 56 to 566 of the family's 1533-position model. Lineage: Bacteria; Pseudomonadati; Pseudomonadota; Betaproteobacteria. The record is from RNAcentral.